Molecule: ribosomal RNA, 497 nt
Filed under: uncultured bacterium
Lineage: Bacteria
Description: partial 16S ribosomal RNA
Rfam family: Bacterial small subunit ribosomal RNA
Source: RNAcentral
GAUGAACGCUGGCGGCGUGCCUAAUACAUGCAAGUCGAGCGAACAGACGAGGAGCUUGCUCCUCUGACGUUAGCGGCGGACGGGUGAGUAACACGUGGAUAACCUACCUAUAAGACUGGGAUAACUUCGGGAAACCGGAGCUAAUACCGGAUAAUAUAUUGAACCGCAUGGUUCAAUAGUGAAGGACGGUUUUGCUGUCACUUAUAGAUGGAUCCGCGCCGCAUUAGCUAGUUGGUAAGGUAACGGCUUACCAAGGCAACGAUGCGUAGCCGACCUGAGAGGGUGAUCGGCCACACUGGAACUGAGACACGGUCCAGACUCCUACGGGAGGCAGCAGUAGGGAAUCUUCCGCAAUGGGCGAAAGCUUGACGGAGCAACGCCGCGUGAGUGAUGAAGGUCUUCGGACCGUAAAACUCUGUUAUUAGGGAAGAACAAAUGUGUAAGUAACUAUGCACGUCUUGACGGUACCUAAUCAGAAAGCCACGGCUAACUACGUG